RNAcentral lists this ribosomal RNA (468 nucleotides) under uncultured bacterium. RNAcentral's name for it is "partial 16S ribosomal RNA". It matches the Rfam family "Bacterial small subunit ribosomal RNA", at positions 28 to 507 of the family's 1533-position model. The record is from RNAcentral.
GACGAACGCUGGCGGCGUGCUUAACACAUGCAAGUCGAACGGAAAGGCCCGGCUUUUGUGGGGUGCUCGAUUGGCGAGCGGGUGAGUAACACGUGAGUAACCUCUCCUUGACUGUGGGAUAACUCCAGGAAACUGGGGCGAAUACCGGAGAGGAUCUCUUGCUGCGCGUGGGGGGAUGGAAAGUGUCGGUGGUGGGGGAUGGACUCGCUGGUUAUCAGCUGGUUUGGCGGGUAGUUGCUGACAAAGGGUUCGACGGGUAGCCGGCCUUAGAGGGUGACCGGCCACAUUGGGCCUGCGGUACGGAGCAGAAUCCUACGGGCCGCAGCAGUCGGGAAUCUUGCACAACGGCCGCAAGUCUGAUGCAAAAACGCCGCGAUCGGAAUGCCGGCCUACGGGUUAUAAACCACUUUCGACUGUGCCGAAGAGUGAGUGACGGUAAUGGGUAAAAAAGCACCGGCUAACUACGUG